Molecule: transfer RNA, 169 nt
Filed under: Papyrocranus congoensis
Lineage: Eukaryota; Metazoa; Chordata; Actinopteri; Osteoglossiformes; Notopteridae
Description: tRNA-Ala
Rfam family: tRNA (bases 1-69)
Source: RNAcentral
AAGGCUUUGGCUUAAUUAAAGUGUCUGAGUUGCAUUCAGAAGAUGUGGGCUAAAGUCCUGCAAGUCUUAUCAGGGACUAGGAGAUUUUAACUCCUGCUUAAAGCUUUGAAGGCUUUUGGUCUGUUUUAUCCUAAGUCUCUAAGAUGCGAGUGCUAGCAUGGUUGGGGUU